Molecule: long non-coding RNA, 900 nt
Filed under: Oryza brachyantha (malo sina)
Lineage: Eukaryota; Viridiplantae; Streptophyta; Magnoliopsida; Poales; Poaceae
Description: long non-coding RNA (OBRA_LNC002195)
Source: RNAcentral
UCGGGAUUUUCAUCACAGAGUUUUAUAGUCUAGUCAUAACAUUAAUUAAUCAUUGCAUGAGGACACGUACAAAGAGUCGUCUCUAUCGCUAUAUACUCGCUGACAUGGAAGAGAGAGGAUAGGAGAGAGAAAAAUGUUUAUUUUGCAUGGAGUCAGCAAAACAUCGACUCUUGGUGCAUAAAACGAGAAGACAACUAGAAAAUCUGCUUUAUAUGUGUGCUGACUGUUAUCAGAGAUGCUGAUGAGAUGGAUAUGAAUUGAGAAUAUAUUAGCAUGUAAUUAUGAAAAGUCGACUUGAAAGACUAUCCUUUAUACGAGGAGUUUUUUCUACUGACGUGGUUUAAGAUAGAGCCUUAAACAUACCAUGAGGUUGUAAUCAAGGGUGUCAUAAAUUAUGCCGUCAUUUGUAUAUAUUACAUGGUAUGCAUUCAGUUUUUCGACAUGAAAUCCCAAAAAAUCACGUUCAGAUGCAAUUUUUCACACCCAGUGUCAUUUUAUUGGAGUUUCGUUUGCUUGAAAUUCGGAAACAACACUCAUAGCGUCUCAUCUUGAUGAAACCCUUGCUGAGACAGGACUGGACUAUGGGAUUUUAAACUACCGUUACAACCGUUUAGACGUUACGGCUCCCAACGUUUCGUUUUUCAGAAAAAAAAUUAAAACAUGUUUUCAAACAAAAACAAUUUACACAUGACACUUUUAUAUACGUGUCCCAUAGCGAUUCAAAAGUAAAAGUUGUAAAACAAAUUCAAAUUAAAAAUUAGGUUUAAAAAUUUUAAAUUUUAGCUUAUAAGUAAUUGUAACUGCGGAAACCUACUAACACAUGGCAGCCAUGCGUGCAUGCCCGUGAGUCGGCUGUCGGCGCUCUAGGCAUCAACUACGCGAAGGGUGACGAGGGAGACG